GUGGUCGCUGCCGCCCCACUGGCUCCCGGGUGGACACUAACACCGUGACACAGAGAAUGCUCUGCCGCUCUCCGUGCCCUGGCGUGGGACCGUGACAGGUCUCCAAGAUGUGUUAGGAAGUGAAAAGGCCAAGGAGCAGAGCAGUGUGGUCAGGAGGCCGCCGCUGACGAAAGGGAGCAGUAGUCACGUGGACCUGCAGGCUGAAGGCUCUGCGGCAGGACGGCGGGAGUCUGAGGAGCAGCAGGCCAGGCCCAAGUGUGGCCGUGACCUCUGAGCGGUAGCAAGCCCAUGGGACACAGAGUGUUCGCAGGGCUGGGGCUCAAAACAUCCGACCAGAAAAAGUCCCUGAGGAGCCACUGAAGAAAGGGCCACGCAGCUGUCUAAGGCUUCAGUCCCUCCUGGAGCUGGCAGCACAGAGCUCUGGACCAGCCCCAGGACCAGGGGACGAGGGGAAAUGCAGACCCUGGCGCCUCCUGGUCUUGGAGCCACGGCUUUCCGCUGCUCGACUCUGGCUCUAUCCCAUCUCUGAGGCCUCGGUGGCCAGGGAGGAAUGCUGUGGCCUGGUACACCUUGGAGACUCAGAGCUCACGGGAGCCAAGCUCUCCAUUUUACGGGUAAGGAAACUGAGACCUAGGCAGAAGCAACACGCCAGGAAGUAGGUGGCCAAAAUAAUCCACAUC
Molecule: long non-coding RNA, 680 nt
Filed under: Microcebus murinus (gray mouse lemur)
Lineage: Eukaryota; Metazoa; Chordata; Mammalia; Primates; Cheirogaleidae
Description: lncRNA (ENSMICG00000048309.1)
Source: RNAcentral